Molecule: ribosomal RNA, 102 nt
Filed under: Escherichia coli
Lineage: Bacteria; Pseudomonadati; Pseudomonadota; Gammaproteobacteria; Enterobacterales; Enterobacteriaceae
Also listed under: 3 other names
Source: RNAcentral
UCUGGCGGCAGUAGCGCGGUGGUCCCACCUGACCCCAUGCCGAACUCAGAAGUGAAACGCCGUAGCGCCGAUGGUAGUGUGGGGUCUCCCCAUGCGAGAGUA